GCAAAGUCCAACGACGGCCGUUUUCUUCUCUCUCCCAUCGGUUCAUACAGACCGGGACUGGUGACCUUUGUUGAGUUUUGCUAUCAGGGUGCCAUUUUUACCUAUCGUAUAUCUUCAUAACAAGGUAAAUUUGUUGGUAUUUUCAGCUUUCUACUCAUUCAAAUCGGAAUUUAUAAUGGAAGUAUCAACCAGAAAACCUAAGAUUUCCAGUACCAGUACAGGGAUUGAUAGAAUAAGCUCAUUGCCAGAUGAUGUACUUCACAACAUACUUUCAUAUCUCUUUAUUUUUUAUGUGGUUCAGUUGAGUAUGUUAUCGAAAAGAUGGAGAUAUGUAUGGACUACAAUGCCUUACUUGCACUUUGAUAUUGAUCAAUUUUAUCCACAACGGUAUUGUGAUUUUGUAAUAGCUGGGAGAUUUAAAGACUUCAUCAAUUGGGUAUUGAUUUCCCAAGGUGACUUUAAUAAACUUGUUCAGUUUCUUCUCUGUUUUGACAAUUUGUUUGAUGAGUCAACUAUUUUGCGAUGGAUUAAUCAUGUGACUACAAGGCGAAAUGUACAAGAACUUGUGUUAAAAUUUCGUCUUGGUAAGCCAUUUGAGUUACCGUAUUGUCUUGUAACGUAUCGUUGCAAGUUUUGAAACUACACUUGUCUGGGGAUGUACUUAAACUGCCUAAUUCUGUGGGAUUUCAUCAGCUGAAGUUGCUUCAUCUUGAUGCUAUUGCUCAAGUAUUCUCCUAAUCUGGAGGUUCUUAAAUUUUGGUCUGAUGAGAGUGUAGACGAGAGUGUAAAUUGGCAGCUGCUUGAUCUCGAUGAAAGCAUUGUGUGCUUGGAAUCCCAUCUAAAGUCAAUUCAUUUGACUGGUUUCAAAGGUGAAGAAAACGAGAUAGAACUACUGAAGUUUUUCCUGAAGAAUGCACAAGUAUUGGAAAAACUGAUGAUUUUCUGGGAAAUGGACAUGGAUAAGUCAGAAGAAGCAUCAGAGGAAGUUUUGAACUUUCCUAGAACUUCUUCACACGUUGUUCUGACGUUUCUUGAUGCCAAGCCCAAGCAAAGAUCCAUAAGUGGUACAAUAGAUAUUCAAAAUGACUCGACCUAGGAGAGAAUUAUUCGAUUGUUGGAUGUCUCUUAUUGAGAUUUCUUUUAAAGAUUCAAGUCUGAACCAGACUAUAAGCAAUUUCAUUGGACUGUGAUGUUUACGGAACUUCUAUUGCUGUUCUGCGUUUAAUGUUUGAACUGCUAGAGAGUAACUAGGAAAGUCAUGUCUUUUUCCAAUGGGGAAGUAUCAUGCAGGAUACCAAAAUUCUGGUAUUGUUUUGCUUCGACACUUAAAGAUCCCCUGCUUUGCUAGAAGGGCACUUUGCUGAAGUCUUUAAAGCUGUUUGUGGCUUUAUGUUGAUGACGAUUUAAUGCAAGUUAUGAUAUUAUUGCUCAAGCAUUCUCCUAAUCUGGAGGUUCUUAAAUCAUGGCCUGAUUAGGCUGAACCAUGUCUUGCAUACUGGAGUCCAAAACUCAGAACAGAUUGGCCCAACUGAUUUUAAACUCGGAUAAGUUAUGGAUAUAUACUAUUCGGCCAA
Long non-coding RNA from Solanum tuberosum (potato), 1574 nucleotides. RefSeq lists it as uncharacterized. Lineage: Eukaryota; Viridiplantae; Streptophyta; Magnoliopsida; Solanales; Solanaceae. The transcript has 3 exons. The record is from RefSeq and is a predicted model, not a curated record.